This 459-nucleotide ribosomal RNA is filed under the name uncultured bacterium. Its description in RNAcentral is "partial 16S ribosomal RNA". It matches the Rfam family "Bacterial small subunit ribosomal RNA", at positions 338 to 795 of the family's 1533-position model. The record is from RNAcentral.
CCUACGGGUGGCAGCAGUGAGGAAUAUUGGUCAAUGGCCGGAAGGCUGAACCAGCCAAGCCGCGUGAGGGAGGAAGGCGCAGAGCGUCGCAGACCUCUUUUGCCGGGGGACAAAAUGCCGGACUUGUCCGGCCCUGAGUGUACCCGGCGAACAAGCAUCGGCUAACCCCGUGCCAGCAGCCGCGGUAAUACGGGGGAUGCGAGCGUUAUCCGGAUUCAUUUGGUUUAAAGGGUACGCAGGCGGGCCUUUAAGCCGGCGGGGAAAUCGCGUGGCCCAACCCCGCCGGGCCGUCGGAACUGGGGGCCUGGAGUGCGGCGGAGGCAUGCGGAAUGCGCGGUGUAGCGGUGAAAUGCAUAGAUAUCGCGCAGAACCCCGAUUGCGAAGGCAGCGUGCCGUGCCGCAACUGACGCUGAGGCACGAAAGCGCGGGGAUCGAACAGGAUUAGAUACCCGUGUAGUC